GUCGAGAAUCAUUCACAAUGGGCGAAAGCCUGACCCAGCAACGCCGCGUGAGGGAAGAAGGUUUUCGGAUUGUAAACCUCUGUCCUUGGGGACGAAGAAAGUGACGGUACCCAGGGAGGAAGCCCCGGCUAACUACGUGCCAGCAGCCGCGGUAAUACGUAGGGGGCGAGCGUUGUUCGGAAUGACUGGGCGUAAAGGGCGCGUAGGCGGCCGAUUAAGUCUGGAGUGAAAGUCCUGUUUUUAAGGCGGGAAUUGCUUUGGAGACUGGUUGGCUUGAGUGCGGAAGAGGUAAGUGGAAUUCCCAGUGUAGCGGUGAAAUGCGUAGAGAUUGGGAGGAACACCAGUGGCGAAGGCGACUUACUGGGCCGUAACUGACGCUGAAGCGCAAAAGCGUGGGGAGCGAACAGGAUUAGAAACCCGUGUAGUCC
RNAcentral lists this ribosomal RNA (428 nucleotides) under uncultured bacterium. RNAcentral's name for it is "partial 16S ribosomal RNA". It matches the Rfam family "Bacterial small subunit ribosomal RNA", at positions 354 to 796 of the family's 1533-position model. The record is from RNAcentral.